GAUGAACGCUGGCGGCGUGCUUAACACAUGCAAGUCGAACGAAGCAUUUAAGACAGUUUACUUCGGUUUGUAGUCUUUUAUGACUGAGUGGCGGACGGGUGAGUAACGCGUGGGUAACCUGCCUCAUACAGGGGGAUAGCAGCUGGCAACGGCUGGUAAUACCGCAUAAGCGCCCAGUACCACAUGGUACAGUGUGAACACCUCCGGUGGUAUGAGAUGGACCCGCGUCUGAUUAGCUAGUUGGCGAGGUAACGGCCCACCAAGGCGACGAUGAGUAGCCGACCUGAGAGGGGGAUCGGACACACUGGAACUGAGAAAGGGUCCAGACUCCGAAGGGAGGCAGCAGGAGGGAAUCUUCCGCAAUGGGCGAAAGCCUGAAGGAGAAAAGCCGCGUGAGUGAUGAAGGUCUUCGGAUCGGAAAAAUCUGUUAUUAGGGAAGAACAAAUGUGUAAGUAACUAUGCACGUCUUGACGGUACCUAAUCAGAAAGACACGGCUAACUACGUG
This 506-nucleotide ribosomal RNA is filed under the name uncultured bacterium. Its description in RNAcentral is "partial 16S ribosomal RNA". It matches the Rfam family "Bacterial small subunit ribosomal RNA", at positions 28 to 507 of the family's 1533-position model. The record is from RNAcentral.